Molecule: ribosomal RNA, 408 nt
Filed under: uncultured bacterium
Lineage: Bacteria
Description: partial 16S ribosomal RNA
Rfam family: Bacterial small subunit ribosomal RNA
Source: RNAcentral
AGUGAACGCUGGCGGCGUGCCUAAUACAUGCAAGUCGAACGAAGUGGCGAACGGGUGGGUAAUAUGUAGAUAAUCUGCCCUAUACAGAGGAAAAACAGGUGGAAAAGAACGCUAAUACAUCAUAGUGUAGGAUGUGACUAUAUCGUAUCAGCUAGGUGGUAAGGUAAUGGCUAACGAAGGUUAUGACGCGUAACUGGUCUGAGAGGAUGAUCAGUCACAUUGGAACUGAGACACGGUCCAAGCUCCUACGGGAAGCGACAGUAGGGUAUCUGGCGCAAUGCGCGUGACCCUAACGCAGCAUCGCCGCGUGGAGGAUGACAGUUUUCGGAGCGUAAACUCCUUUUAUCAUGAAAGCGGUACCUGAUGAAUAAGCACCGGCUAACUCCGUGCCAGCAGCCGCGGUAAUAC